Molecule: long non-coding RNA, 571 nt
Filed under: Rosa chinensis
Lineage: Eukaryota; Viridiplantae; Streptophyta; Magnoliopsida; Rosales; Rosaceae
Description: sRNA RchiOBHm_Chr7g0181771
Source: RNAcentral
CGUCGGCCUCAGCAGUUACGGCUUCAAGAGCACCGUUGAGCAAGUCACCAAUAGCUGCCCCGAUCUCCGCUCCAUCACGGCCAUCAUCACAGGUGUGGAGGAUCGGAGCCGAGAUGGCGCAAGUGUUAGCCAAGCGCUGCGCCAAACUAGUCCUCCCUGCUCGGAGCCUCAAAGCCGCCGAAGACGCCAAGGCGCGAGUUCGCUCUGUUUGGCGAUCCGGAUCGCGAACUCCCCACGAUUGGGUUCGUCCGAUCCGGAACGCGGUUCGCCGGCAGUCACAGCGUUUCCGGUGACUUUGCUCUGAUCUAUCCCUUUCUCUCUACAGUCUCGGGCUCUCAGCUGUCCUCACUCCUCAGUGAGCAACAGUUAAGACCAAAACAAAAAAGGGUUGAUAUGUCGGUAGCUGAACAGCCAAACAGAGCUCUGAUUUAUAUAAAUAUGAGGACGCAUUUCAUCACUCUGAAUCUGAUCAUCAUCUGAUCACAUACGGUAUCUAUCUCACUGGUUAACUUGUGAAACUAGGCAUGAGAUACAUGCAGACUUGCAGAGACGUCGUUCGCAUUAAAUUGAU